This 270-nucleotide ribosomal RNA is filed under the name uncultured archaeon. Its description in RNAcentral is "partial 16S ribosomal RNA". It matches the Rfam family "Archaeal small subunit ribosomal RNA", at positions 477 to 747 of the family's 1478-position model. The record is from RNAcentral.
CAGCCCCUCGAGUGGUGGGGAUGAUUAUUUGGCCUAAAGCGUCCGUAGCCGGCCGUGUAAGUCGCCCGUUAAAUCCAGCGUCUCAAGCGUUGGACUGCGGGAGAUACUGUACGGCUAGAGAGUGGGAGAGGUCAGCGGUAUUCUGGGGGUAGGGGCGAAAUCCUUUGAUCCCCGGAGGACCACCAGUGGCGAAGGCUGCUGACUAGAACACGUCUGACGGUCAGGGACGAAAGCUGGGGUAGCGAACCGGAUUAGAGACCCCCGUAGUCC